Molecule: signal recognition particle RNA, 99 nt
Filed under: Burkholderiales bacterium
Lineage: Bacteria; Pseudomonadati; Pseudomonadota; Betaproteobacteria; Burkholderiales
Also listed under: 1 other name
Description: signal recognition particle sRNA small type
Rfam family: Bacterial small signal recognition particle RNA
About the family: The signal recognition particle (SRP) is a universally conserved ribonucleoprotein involved in the co-translational targeting of proteins to membranes. Archaeal SRP consists of a 7S RNA and homologues of the eukaryotic SRP19 and SRP54 proteins.
Source: RNAcentral
CGGCCGGGCCGAUGCAAGGGUCGGCCGUGAACCUGGUCAGGUCCGAGAGGAAGCAGCCAUAAACGGUCCCGGUUCUGUGCCGUCGUCUCCCGGCCGUCU